AAAUUUAGGCUAACACUAAACCAGGAGCCUUCAAAGCCCCAAAAAAGAGCCCAACCCUCUUAAUUUCU
Molecule: transfer RNA, 68 nt
Filed under: Cnemaspis peninsularis
Lineage: Eukaryota; Metazoa; Chordata; Lepidosauria; Squamata; Gekkonidae
Description: tRNA-Trp
Source: RNAcentral